This 253-nucleotide ribosomal RNA is filed under the name uncultured bacterium. RNAcentral's name for it is "partial 16S ribosomal RNA". It matches the Rfam family "Bacterial small subunit ribosomal RNA", at positions 524 to 776 of the family's 1533-position model. The record is from RNAcentral.
UACGAAGGGAGCUAGCGUUGUUCGGAAUCACUGGGCGUAAAGCGUGCGUAGGCGGCUUCUCAAGUCAGGGGUGAAAUCCCACAGCUUAACUGUGGAACUGCCUUUGAAACUGAGAGGCUAGAAUGUGAGAGGGGAUGGCGGAAUUCCUAAUGUAGAGGUGAAAUUCGUAGAUAUUAGGAGGAACACCCGUGGCGAAAGCGGCCAUCUGGAUCACAAUUGACGCUGAUGUACGAAAGCGUGGGUAGCAAACAGG